UACGGAGGGGGCAAGCGUUGUUCGGAAUCAUUGGGCGUAAAGGGCGCGUAGGUGGUUCUGUAUGUCUGCCGUGAAAGCGUACGGCUCAACCGUAUUUUGUCGGUAGAAACUGCAGGACUUGAGGCUGGGAGGGGCUGGUGGAAUUCCCUGUGUAGCGGUGAAAUGCGUAGAGAUGGGGGAGAACACUCGUGGCGAAGGCGGCCAGCUAGACCAGUUCUGACACUGAGGCGCGACAGCGUGGGGAGCAAACAGG
Molecule: ribosomal RNA, 253 nt
Filed under: uncultured bacterium
Lineage: Bacteria
Description: partial 16S ribosomal RNA
Rfam family: Bacterial small subunit ribosomal RNA
Source: RNAcentral